This 433-nucleotide ribosomal RNA is filed under the name uncultured bacterium. Its description in RNAcentral is "partial 16S ribosomal RNA". It matches the Rfam family "Bacterial small subunit ribosomal RNA", at positions 29 to 507 of the family's 1533-position model. The record is from RNAcentral.
AACGAACGCUGGCGGCAUGCCUAACACAUGCAAGUCGAACGAUACCUUCGGUUCUUGUGGCGCACGUGUGCGUAACUCGUGGGCACCUGCCCUUCGGUUCGGAAUCACUCCCCGAAAUGGUUGCUAAUACCGUAUAAUUUCUUCUGACCAAAGAUUUAUCGCCUUUGGCUGGUCCCGCGUUUGAUUAGCUAGUUGUUAGGGUAAAAGCCUACCACGGCGCCGAUCCAUAGCUGGUCUGAGAGGAUGAUCAGCCACACUGGGACUGAGACACGGCCCAGACUACUACGGGAGGAAGCAGUGGGGAAUAAUGGACAAUGGGCGAAAGCCUGAGCCAGCAAUGCGGGGUGAGUGAUGAAGGCGUUAGGGUUGUAAAGCUCUUUUACCCGGGAGGAGAAUGACAGUACCGGGAGAAUAAGCGCCGGCUAACUACGUG